UAUGACUUACUGGCGGACGGGUGAGUAACACGUGAGCAACCUGCCUUUCAGACGGGGAUAACGGCUGGAAACGGUCGCUAAUACCGCAUGAUGUGCUCGGAUGGCAUCAUCUGAACAUCAAAGAUUUAUCGCUGAAGGAUGGGCUCGCGUCUGAUUAGAUAGUUGGUGGGGUAACGGCCUACCAAGUCUACGAUCAGUAGCCGGACUGAGAGGUUGAACGGCCACAUUGGGACUGAGAUACGGCCCGGACUCCUACGGGAGGCAGCAGUGGGGAAUAUUGCACAAUGGGGGAAACCCUGAUGCAGCAACGCCGCGUGAAGGAUGACGGUUUUCGGAUUGUAAACUUCUUUUCUUAGUGACGAAGACAGUGACGGUAGCUAAGGAAUAAGCAUCGGCUAACUACGUGCCAGCAGCCGCGGUAAUACGUAGGAUGCAAGCGUUAUCCGGAUUUACUGGGUGUAAAGGGAGCGCAGGCGGGACUGCAAGUUGGAUGUGAAAUACCGUGGCUUAACCACGGAACUGCAUCCAAAACUGUAGUUCUUGAGUGAAGUAGAGGCAAGCGGAAUUCCGAGUGUAGCGGUGAAAUGCGUAGAUAUUCGGAGGAACACCAGUGGCGAAGGCGGCUUGCUGGGCUUUAACUGACGCUGAGGCUGGAAAGUGUGGGGAGCAACCAGGAGUAGACAGCUUGG
Molecule: ribosomal RNA, 689 nt
Filed under: uncultured Bacillota bacterium
Lineage: Bacteria; Bacillati; Bacillota
Description: bacterial SSU rRNA
Rfam family: Bacterial small subunit ribosomal RNA
Source: RNAcentral